Molecule: long non-coding RNA, 1002 nt
Filed under: Brachypodium distachyon (stiff brome)
Lineage: Eukaryota; Viridiplantae; Streptophyta; Magnoliopsida; Poales; Poaceae
Description: long non-coding RNA (BDIS_LNC005647)
Source: RNAcentral
CUUGAUAAAAAGAAAUUAUAUAUUAUCCAUGCCUUUUGCCGAGUGCUUAGGGCCAUGGGCAAAGAACCCGUAGUGUGGGUACCCACUUUUAUUGCCACGCAACUGUAACAUCCCAAAAUUCCAAAACCUUUCAUAUGCAUUGCACUCAUGAGCAUCAUGCCACAAUUGCAUAUUUCAAUUCAAAUUUGAAUCUCAAAAGGCUUUAAAAAGGUUUUUAUUUCAUUUUAAACCCUAGGGUUUCACCCAUUUGAGCUUUGGAUCUUCAAACCAAUAGGGUUUAUCUAUAAAAGGGGUUUAUUGCUAAAUUAAGCUAUCCCAUAAUUUUUGGAUAUUUAUUUGGAGUUGAAAAACUAUUUUAUUUCAAUAGUUAUAUAGCCCUAAAUGCAUUUAUAGGGCAAAUGUAUUUUUUAUAUAUUUUAUUUUGAAGAGAAAUUAGUCCCAAAAGUUGAAUCAUGAUAAAACAUGAUUUUACAAAUUUUCUGGAAUUUAUUUGGACCAAUUUGGAGAUCAAAAUCAAAAGUUAUAAAGGAUUUACAGAAAAAGAAAAAAAAGGAAAAGGUUAAAGGAAAAGAAAAAGAGAGAAACGGACCGGCCCGGCCGAUUUGGGCCGAACCGGCCGACUUAGCUGCCGUGCGCCGCAGCCCCGCAGCCCAGCGCCCUGCGCGCGCGCACGAGCCACCGACAGGUGGGCCCCACCUAUCAGGGUCGUCCCCUACCUUGGGCCGCGCGCCAUCACCGGAGACCUGCCAUUUCCGUCGUCCCCACGGUCCCCCGAGCGCGUCACUAUAAAGGGCAAGAAUCCCUCAUCCUUUUCCCCCAACCUUGCCCACCGAAUCGUGCGCACACGCUGCCCAAAUUGCUCGCCGGAAGAACUCUAGCCGCCGCCGCAUCUCCUGCUCGCCGCCGGCAACAAGGUGAGACAUCGUCGACCCCGCCGCGUUUCUCUUGAUCCCCACACCCGUGCGCAUCUUCUGACACGUGCCAUUUUCCUUUUGGGGCGCC